This 282-nucleotide ribosomal RNA is filed under the name uncultured bacterium. RNAcentral describes it as "partial 16S ribosomal RNA". It matches the Rfam family "Bacterial small subunit ribosomal RNA", at positions 773 to 1060 of the family's 1533-position model. The record is from RNAcentral.
GUGGAUUAGAUACCCCGGUAGUCCGCACUGUAAACGAUGAUUACUCGCUGCUGGAAGGUAACUUUCAGUGGCUUAGCGAAAGCGAUAAGUAAUCCACCUGGGAGUACGCCGGCAACGGUGAAACUCAAAGGAAUUGACGGGGGCCCGCACAAGCGGAGGAGCAUGUGGUUUAAUUCGAUGAUACGCGAGGAACCUUACCAGGGCUUGAAAGUUAGGGAAUAACUCUGAAAGGAGUUAGUCAGCAAUGACCCGAAACUAGGUGCUGCACGGCUGUCGUCAACU